CAAAUUAGAGCUUGAAUGGAAGUAUUUCAUUUACAUUGAAAUGAUAUUAAUAUAAUUAAUUAAUUUGA
RNAcentral lists this transfer RNA (68 nucleotides) under Corcyra cephalonica (rice moth). RNAcentral describes it as "tRNA-Val". Lineage: Eukaryota; Metazoa; Arthropoda; Insecta; Lepidoptera; Pyralidae. The record is from RNAcentral.